CCAUGUACAUUUAAACAAAAUGGAGGCUCUUUAGUGAGCUUAUAUAUUCAAAUGGCCAUUGGAAUAAAACUAAAGAGCCUCCAUUUUGUUUAAAUGUACAUGG
Pelobates cultripes (western spadefoot toad) is the source of this 103-nucleotide non-coding RNA. The record is from the annotation of a GenBank genome assembly. Lineage: Eukaryota; Metazoa; Chordata; Amphibia; Anura; Pelobatidae.